This is a long non-coding RNA of Chinchilla lanigera (long-tailed chinchilla), 1903 nucleotides long. The record is from Ensembl. NCBI's taxonomy places the organism in Eukaryota, Metazoa, Chordata, Mammalia, Rodentia, Chinchillidae.
AUGAUCUUCCUUUCUAGGUGGGGACAGAGGUGUCAGGGGGGAUGUGGAUCACCGAGGUUUCACAGGGAGUUGGAAAGCCUGCAGCCUGGCUUCUGGCCAGCCUUCCCUGCCAGGUGCCAGGAGGUGGGGGAGGUGCCUGAGCCCCUGAUGAGGCUGCAGUGUCCUCAGUGGGACCACAGAGGCCCCCAGAGUCAGCAUCAUAAACACUGUGAUCUGCCGACCUGCUCGCCUGCUUACUUCUGUCUCAUGGGUAGCCCAAGACUCCGCUCCGGAGAAGGCAAAGUACACAAGGGCCUUCACCUCUCGGUCACGUUCCUGAGGCCUUUGCGGGCACCUCUGAGAUGCUCAAUUAAUAUUUGUGGAAGGAAUGCGCUGCUGGGGGCAGGGAAGGGAGCUCCUUAGGAGUGUGCUCUGUGAGUGCCCGUUGCUGUCAACCCCACCGUGCCCAGCAUGGGCUCUGGCCCCUCAGUAAAUAAGCGGCUGUUGAAUGAAUGAGUGGAUGAAUGAGGAUGACAGUUAGCGCCAACAAGGGUGGAAGUGGGUGAACCAGGCAGGGAAUGCAUCCUCAAACCUCAGUCCUUAUCCCAGGAGCCAGGAUCUGAGAAGGAGCAGAGGGAGGGCCGGUCUCUGGGCUUCUUCCGCUUCCCUCUUUCCAGGCCAACCGUGCACAUACUAAUGACUCUUAGAAAAAAAAAAAAAAAAAAAAAACUCAGGGCUCAUAUUUACAGAGCAUUUACUAUGUACCAGGUUUUGUGCUAAGCCCUUUACAUAGAUGAACUCACUUCGCCUUUUCAGUGAUCUGUGAAGCAGUAUUUUACUCAUAGUGUAGGCAAGGAAAAUGAAGCACAGAGAGAUUACGCCGAUUGCCCAAGGUCACACAGCUAGAAAACCAAUGCUGUCCUUGCUAGGGCUGCGCUGAGAUGGCAGCAGUGCUCACCCUGUGCCGAGAGCAGUCUCUGGGUUUGGGUCUUUCGCCCCCUGCGACCUCUGUCCAGGUCUUGGUGUGGCCCUUUGUAGAAUGGGAACAUGCGUGCUGAUGCUUGGGAGGCAGGGACUUUUUUUUUUAAAUAAGGUUUUUCUUCUUGUCAUCAUGAAUCAGCAUGUCAUCGUGAUCACGGUGGUGAUAAUCUCUAGACCUGCUUCCUGUCGUUAACAUAUGCAGUCUGAGACGCAGCCCUGGAGACCCUGACGAGGCAGAUGGGUCUGCUUCCCACCUGGGCAGAACUGCUGUCUCAUUUGGUCUCCACUCGCCUCCUCCUUCCGUUUUGUCUUCGCUUGAUCAUUGCCGCAGCCUCCGGCUUGCCUGCCAGCCUCUGGGCUUUUCUUCUCUCUCAUUAACCAAUCUUGCUUAAUAUGUAAAUCAGUACUUGUUACUCUCCUGCCCUGGUGACCUGCACUGCCUCCAAAAUCUUUACGAAAGGGAAGGGCUUGGUAACUUGGCCCCUGGAAACAGCGACUUUCCAGCCAACCCCAAGGCCCUCAGGCAGCACACGGUGGCUGGCGGGGCUGUAACCAGGCGUGGCUUCCGUGACUCUUUGCCUCUGCCUCUCUGGUUCCCUGAGCCAGCAGGGCCCUUCCGACUCUCUCCACAGUGAAGUCUGCUCAUUCGCUGGACUCAGAGAAAUGGCACAGUUGCUUUUCUGGGUUAUAAAAGUGAUGCACACUCAUUGUAGAUAAUUCAAACAGUGCAGAACCCACGAGGAAAAAAACCAGGGAAAUGUUUGCUUUUCCCAUAGUUCCAACGGCUGGAGAAAACCACCGUUAAAACACCAUGAUUAUAACCAUGCAUGUUUUUCUGUGUACAUAUACGUUUGUAUCUCUAAAUAUGCAUAAAUACACUCAUGUUUACAAAAAUGAGGUCACUUGUGCUAUUUGGUAACCUACUUUCUUUCCCCCCCUAAAU